CCUACGGGGGGCAGCAGUAGGGAAUAUUGCGCAAUGGGGGAAACCCUGACGCAGCAACGCCGCGUGAGUGAGGAAGGUCUUCGGAUUGUAAAACUCUUUUCUUAGGGAAAAAUGUCCUUUCGGUUAAUACCCGAGAGGGGUGAUGGUACCUAAGGAAUAAGCACCGGCUAACUUCGUGCCAGCAGCCGCGGUAAUACGAAGGGUGCAAGCGUUGUUCGGAAUCAUUGGGCGUAAAGCGCGCGCAGGCGGAUUAAUAAGUCAGGUGUGAAAUCUCGGAGCUCAACUCCGAAACUGCGCCUGAAACUAUUAGUCUAGAAUGUCGGAGGGGGCAGGGGAAUUUCACGUGUAGGGGUAAAAUCCGUAGAGAUGUGAAGGAACACCGGAGGCGAAGGCGCCUGCCUGGACGACUAUUGACGCUGAGGCGCGAAAGCGUGGGGAGC
Molecule: ribosomal RNA, 440 nt
Filed under: uncultured bacterium
Lineage: Bacteria
Description: bacterial SSU rRNA
Rfam family: Bacterial small subunit ribosomal RNA
Source: RNAcentral